GACGAACGCUGGCGGCGUGCUUAACACAUGCAAGUCGAACGGAAAGGCCCUGCUUUUGUGGGGUGCUCGAAUGGCGAACGGGUGAGUAACACGUGAGUAACCUGCCCUUGACUUUGGGAUAACUUCAGGAAACUGGGGCUAAUACCGGAUAGGAGCUCCUGCUGCAUGGUGGGGGUUGGAAAGUUUCGGCGGUUGGGGAUGGACUCGCGGCUUAUCAGCUUGUUGGUGGGGUAGUGGCUUACCAAGGCUUUGACGGGUAGCCGGCCUGAGAGGGUGACCGGCCACAUUGGGACUGAGAUACGGCCCAGACUCCUACGGGAGGCAGCAGUGGGGAAUAUUGCACAAUGGGCGGAAGCCUGAUGCAGCAACGCCGCGUGCGGGAUGACGGCCUUCGGGUUGUAAACCGCUUUCGCCUGUGACGAAGCGUGAGUGACGGUAAUGGGUAAAGAAGCACCGGCUAACUACGUGCCAGCAGCCGCGGUGAUACGUAGGGUGCGAGCGUUGUCCGGAUUUAUUGGGCGUAAAGGGCUCGUAGGUGGUUGAUCGCGUCGGAAGUGUAAUCUUGGGGCUUAACCCUGAGCGUGCUUUCGAUACGGGUUGACUUGAGGAAGGUAGGGGAGAAUGGAAUUCCUGGUGGAGCGGUGGAAUGCGCAGAUAUCAGGAGGAACACCAGUGGCGAAGGCGGUUCUCUGGGCCUUUCCUGACGCUGAGGAGCGAAAGCGUGGGGAGCGAACAGGCUUAGAUACCCUGGUAGUCCACGCUGUAAACGGUGGGUACUAGGUGUGGGGUCCAUUCCACGGGUUCCGUGCCGUAGCUAACGCUUUAAGUACCCCGCCUGGGGAGUACGGCCGCAAGGCUAAAACUCAAAGGAAUUGACGGGGCCCCGCACAAGCGGCGGAGCAUGCGGAUUAAUUCGAUGCAACGCGUAGAACCUUACCUGGGUUUGACAUGGAUCGGGAGUGCUCAGAGAUGGGUGUGCCUCUUUUGGGGUCGGUUCACAGGUGGUGCAUGCCUGUCGUCAGCUCGUGUCGUGAGAUGUUGGGUUAAGUCCCGCAACGAGCGCAACCCUUGUUCACUGUUGCCAGCACGUUAUGGUGGGGACUCAGUGGAGACCGCCGGGGUCAACUCGGAGGAAGGUGGGGAUGACGUCGAGUCCUCAUGCCCCUUAUGUCCAGGGCUUCACGCAUGCUACAAUGGCUGGUACAGAGAGUGGCGAGCCUGUGAGGGUGAGCGAAUCUCGGAAAGCCGGUCUCAGUUCGGAUUGGGGUCUGCAACUCGACCUCAUGAAGUCGGAGUCGCUAGUAAUCGCAGAUCAGCAACGCUGCGGUGAAUACGUUCCCGGGGCU
This 1346-nucleotide ribosomal RNA is filed under the name uncultured bacterium. RNAcentral describes it as "bacterial SSU rRNA". It matches the Rfam family "Bacterial small subunit ribosomal RNA", at positions 28 to 1381 of the family's 1533-position model. The record is from RNAcentral.